CCUACGGGUGGCAGCAGUGAGGAAUAUUGGUCAAUGGGCGCGAGCCUGAACCAGCCAAGUCGCGUGAGGGAAGACGGUCCUAUGGAUUGUAAACCUCUUUUGUCGGGGAGCAAAAGACGCCACGCGUGGCGUUCCGAGAGUACCCGUAGCAUAAGCAUCGGCUAACUCCGUGCCAGCAGCCGCGGUAAUACGGAGGAUGCGAGCGUUAUCCGGAUUUAGUGGGUUUAAAGGGUGCGCAGGCGGAAGAUCAAGUCAGCGGUAAAAUUGAGAGGCUGAACCUGUUCGAGCCGUUGAAACUGGUUUUCUUGAGUGAGUGAGAGGUAUGCGGAAUGCGUGGUGUAGCGGUGAAAUGCAUAGAUAUCACGCAGAACUCCGAUUGCGAAGGCAGCAUACCGGCGCGCAACUGACGCUCAUGCACGAAAGUGUGGGUAGCGAACAGGAUUAGAUACCCGUGUAGUC
This 459-nucleotide ribosomal RNA is filed under the name uncultured bacterium. Its description in RNAcentral is "partial 16S ribosomal RNA". It matches the Rfam family "Bacterial small subunit ribosomal RNA", at positions 338 to 795 of the family's 1533-position model. The record is from RNAcentral.